RNAcentral lists this ribosomal RNA (115 nucleotides) under Bacillus thuringiensis. Lineage: Bacteria; Bacillati; Bacillota; Bacilli; Caryophanales; Bacillaceae. The record is from RNAcentral.
UCUGGUAAUGAUGGCAGAGAGGUCACACCCGUUCCCAUACCGAACACGGAAGUUAAGCUCUCUAGCGCCGAUGUAGUUGGGACCUUGUCCCUGUGAGAGUAGGACGUUGCCAGGC